CUAUAGGACAUGAAUAGUGAUCAAAUGACAGUGGUGUAUGAAACAGAUUUGAGCUGCAUUUCCCUAAAGCUUUGUAAACUUAAGUACAUCAUAGACUCAAUAAAACCAAUGAAGCUGGGAGGUGGGGCUUAAAACAUGGAUAUCUGAUGUUGUUGAAAAACUGCAAGUCUCUGUUACAGAGAGAAUAAGAAACACACACAAUGAUUCUCAAUUCUGUAAUUCUGCUUUUUGCCUUUGCAUAUGCAGCAUAUGGAAAUGAAAUUAAACCAACCAAAACUUUGGAGUUUGCUGAGGAGGGUUCAAGUGUUACAUUAUCCUGCAUUUAUUCAUCUGCAUAUACUCUGUACUGGUACCGUCAGUAUCCCAGAUCAGCUCCUCAGUUCAUCGUGUUCAUCUCAGGCAGUGCAAAAGACGAUCAGGAAUCUAUUGUAGAUCCCAGAUUCACUGCCAAAGUCACCAAAGACAAAGAAAACCAUGUGGAUCUGGAGAUCUCCUCUGUAUCUAUAUCAGACUCUGCUCUGUACUACUGCGCUCUGCAGCCCACAGUGACAGGAAACACAAGAACAUUGUACAAAAACCUGGUUCACAGUAUUGCAUUUACAUCACACAUAUCCAAGCUCCUUAUCUGCUGUACAGUAGGUAACACAAGGGAACUCCCCUCUAAUCAGUAAAAACAGUAUAGAUUGUCAUUCACAAUCACGACAUAAAAAAGAUAAAACUUGAAGGAUUAAACACAAAGAUUUAAAAGAUUUAAAUAUGUUAAAAGAUGCUUCAUAUACAGAUAUUCACAUUAUAUACAGCAACCAUGUUUAAAGAGGUGAUAAAAUCAUAUUUAUAUGCAUUUGCGUGAGUAAAGAGGGGUUUAUAUCUGAGGGUAUUUUGCUGAACCUGACAGAGAGUCAUAAGAUCAUUUAAAGGGGUCAUAUGAUGUUUUUUUUUAAAGAUAAUUAUUUUGUGUAUUUGGUGUAACAGAAUAUGCUGACAUGCUUUAAAAAAAACACCUUAUUUUUAAAAUACUGUAUACUAUGUCCCGCCUCUCUCAAACUCCUCAUUUUCUACCAAGUCCCUCUUUCCAACAAAUGCAGUCUGCUCUGAUUGGGCAACUGAUCUAGUGCAUUGUGAUUGGCCAAACACCGCAAGCACUCGUCGGAAAUUAGUGAUGGGAAGUUCGGAUAAUUUUACCGACUCUGAGAGAGUCCAUAAAAGCAAAAGGACAAAAUUGUUCAACAACAUCUGCAAGAUUCGGUGAGUGAUUCAGAUUUGUCUUGGUACAGCGAUUAGAAGUCUUACAAUUGUCAGACAGGUUGCUCACGUGACAUCUACGUCAUCAAGCUCAGUUUAAGUAUGCGCAGUAUGCUCGACCACCAGGAAGUGCGUGCUUCUAAUUGACUUCACUUGUCUCCGUUGAAUCUAAUGGGGUCGCUGUGUCCAUUUCUUUUACUGUCUAUUGAUAGACCCGAACUAUGAACUAAUCAAUUCUCUUUCCGGCUCAGGCUGGCAUUGACUGACACAGGUGAAUUACUAUUAGCGGAACAGAACCUAUAAUAAUGGAUGAAUCAUGGAUCAUCCCCCGAGACGACUCGUUCUUCCCAAGUCACAUUAAAGAUUUGUUCAAAAUGAGCGUAUCAUUCAAGAAUGACACAUCACUAUCGGAAAAGUAAUGCCCCUUUCCAUAAUGCUGAGCAUCUUCUUUCAAAAUAAAUAUAAAGACAGUUAAUAAUGUACUUAGUUUUGGCAUCAGUUCAAGCCUGAAAGAGGAACAGAUGGCCUGACAGACACAGUGAUGAAGUUUGUAUGUGUUUACAGUACACAAGCCACUGACGUUCAGACGGCUGACUCCACUGUGAUAUGAGUGACUGGUCUCUCUCUCUCUUUCUCACAGACGCUGGGGUGAACACACAUUUGUGAGGAUUUGCAGUGUGUUUCAUUAUAUGCAUGUGUUGUGAUGAUUUGCAACACUUGUGUUGUCAAACUGAUGAAGAUGCUUUCUUCAUUUACUGGUUUUUUUUCUGGUACAAACAAAUACCAAAAAGAUCACCAACAUUCAUUCUGGGUCA
Non-coding RNA from Carassius auratus (goldfish), 2057 nucleotides. Lineage: Eukaryota; Metazoa; Chordata; Actinopteri; Cypriniformes; Cyprinidae. The record is from the annotation of a RefSeq genome assembly.